UACGAAGGGGGCUAGCGUUGCUCGGAAUCACUGGGCGUAAAGGGUGCGUAGGCGGGUCUUUAAGUCAGGGGUGAAAUCCUGGAGCUCAACUCCAGAACUGCCUUUGAUACUGAAGAUCUUGAGUUCGGGAGAGGUGAGUGGAACUGCGAGUGUAGAGGUGAAAAUUCGUAGAUAUUCGCAAGAACACCAGUGGCGAAGGCGGCUCACUGGCCCGAUACUGACGCUGAGGCACGAA
This 235-nucleotide ribosomal RNA is filed under the name uncultured bacterium. RNAcentral describes it as "partial 16S ribosomal RNA". It matches the Rfam family "Bacterial small subunit ribosomal RNA", at positions 524 to 757 of the family's 1533-position model. The record is from RNAcentral.